UCAACUUCGUAACGGCGGUGGAAACUCCAAGACUAGAGCUAGGUAGGGGUCACGGGAAUUAUCCCAGUGUAGCGGUGUUAUGCGUAGAUAUUGGGAAGAACACCAGCGGCGAACAGCGCGUGACUGGGCCUGAGCUGACACUCAUGGACGAAAGCUAGGGGAGCGAAAGGGAUUAGAUACCCCUGUAGUCCUAGCCGUAAACGAUGACAACUAGGUGUUGCCGUAAGUAUCGACCCGGGCAGUGCCGUAGCCAACGCGUUAAGUUGUCCGCCUGGGGAGUACGCACGCAAGUGUGAAACUCAAAGGAAUUGACGGGGGCCCGCACAAGCGGUGGAGUAUGUGGUUUAAUUCGAUGCAACGCGAAGAACCUUACACCUCAAGGCUUGACAUGUCGCGAAUCUUCUUGAAAGG
Molecule: ribosomal RNA, 411 nt
Filed under: uncultured bacterium
Lineage: Bacteria
Description: bacterial SSU rRNA
Rfam family: Bacterial small subunit ribosomal RNA
Source: RNAcentral